This 1187-nucleotide ribosomal RNA is filed under the name Globodera pallida. Its description in RNAcentral is "eukaryotic LSU rRNA". The stretch from base 1 to 192 matches the Rfam family "Eukaryotic small subunit ribosomal RNA", at positions 1641 to 1831 of the family's 1831-position model. The record is from RNAcentral. Lineage: Eukaryota; Metazoa; Nematoda; Chromadorea; Rhabditida; Heteroderidae.
UUGAUUAGGUCCCUGCCCUUUGUACACACCGCCCGUCGCUGCCCGGGACUGAGCCAUUUCGAGAAACUCGGGGACGAUUAUGCGUGUCGGCUUCGGUCGUCGCGUUGAUUGGAACCGAUUUAAUCGCAGUGGCUUGAACCGGGCAAAAGUCGUAACAAGGUAGCUGUAGGUGAACCUGCUGCUGGAUCAUUACCCAAGUGAUACCAAUUCACCACCUACCUGCUGUCCAGUUGAGUCAGUGUGGGCAACACCACAUGCCUCCGUUUGUUGUUGACGGACACAUGCCCGCUAUGUUUGGGCUGGCACAUUGAUCAACAAUGUAUGGACAGCGCCCUGUGGGCACAUGAGUGUUGGGGUGUAACCGAUGUUGGUGGCCCAAUGGGUGACUCGACGAUUGCUGUUGUCGUCGGGUCGCUGCACCAACGGAGGUGGCACGCCCACAGGGCACCCUAACGGCUGUGCUGGCGUCUGUGCGUCGUUGAGCGGUUGUUGCGCCUUGCGCGGAUAUGCUGACAUGGAGUGUAGGCUACUAUUCCAUGUCGUACGUGCCGUACCCAGCGGCAUGUCUGCGCUUGUGUGCUACGUCCGUGGCCGUGAUGAGACGACGUGUUAGGACCCGUGCCUGGCAUUGGCACGCGGUUUAAGACUUGAUGAGUGCCUGCAGGCACCGCCAGCUUUUUCUCAUUUUUAUAAAUUUUUUAAUGCAAUUUUAUUGCUAAAAUAUUCUAGUCUUAUCGGUGGAUCACUCGGCUCGUGGAUCGAUGAAGAACGCAGCCAACUGCGAUAAUUAGUGUGAACUGCAGAAACCUUGAACACAGAACUUUCGAAUGCACAUUGCGCCAUUGGAGUGACAUCCAUUGGCACGCCUGGUUCAGGGUCGUAACCAAAAAAUGCACUGCAUGUGCGUGUUUUAUUUGCUAAGAUCACGCUUCGGCGUGUUCUUGCAUACCAUUGAAUGCUACGCUGUGUAGUGUUGGACGUGCUGGCGCGAAAAUGUGUUGUCUUUCGCGCUUUACAGACCGUAAUUUAGGCACGCCCUUCGUUCACAUGCGAUAGCUGAAUGCCUCGCCAAUAGGCAUUCGCAAUUGAACAUUUCGACCUGAACUCAGACGUGAACACCCGCUGAACUUAAGCAUAUCAGUAAGCGGAGGAAAAGAAACUAACGAGGAUUCCCGUAGUAACGGCGA